This is a small nuclear RNA of Echinops telfairi (small Madagascar hedgehog), 165 nucleotides long. RefSeq annotates it as U1 spliceosomal RNA. Lineage: Eukaryota; Metazoa; Chordata; Mammalia; Afrosoricida; Tenrecidae. The transcript has a single exon. The record is from RefSeq and is a predicted model, not a curated record.
AUACUUACCUGAGGUAAGGGGAGCUACCAUGAUCACGAAGGUGGUUUUCCCAGGGCGAGGCUCACCCAUUGCACUCCAGCUAUGCUGACCCCUGCAAUUUCCCCAAAUGUGGGAGACUCGACUGCAUGAUUUGUGGUAGUGGGAGACUGUAUUUGCAUUCUCCCC